Phodopus roborovskii (desert hamster) is the source of this 110-nucleotide small nuclear RNA. Lineage: Eukaryota; Metazoa; Chordata; Mammalia; Rodentia; Cricetidae. The record is from RefSeq and is a predicted model, not a curated record.
UGGGUAAUUGAUUUGGCGCCCGGUAGACUAAAAUUAGAAUAAUACAGAGGAGCUUAGCGUGGCUCCUGUGCAAGGAUGACACACAAAUUUUUGAAGUAUUUUAUAUAUAA